RNAcentral lists this ribosomal RNA (254 nucleotides) under uncultured bacterium. RNAcentral describes it as "partial 16S ribosomal RNA". It matches the Rfam family "Bacterial small subunit ribosomal RNA", at positions 524 to 776 of the family's 1533-position model. The record is from RNAcentral.
UACGUAGGGUGCGAGCGUUGUCCGGAAUUAUUGGGCGUAAAGAGCUCGUAGGCGGUCUGUCGCGUCGGUCGUGAAAACUUGGGGCUUAACCCUGAGCUUGCGGUCGAUACGGGCAUGACUGGAGUUCGGUAGGGGAGACUGGAAUUCCUGGUGUAGCGGUGAAAUGCGCAGAUAUCAGGAGGAACACCGGUGGCGAAGGCGGUUCUCUGGGCAUGACCUGACGCUGAGGAGCGAAAGUGUGGGGAGCGAACAGG